Molecule: ribosomal RNA, 406 nt
Filed under: uncultured bacterium
Lineage: Bacteria
Description: partial 16S ribosomal RNA
Rfam family: Bacterial small subunit ribosomal RNA
Source: RNAcentral
GAUGAACGCUAGCUACAGGCUUAACACAUGCAAGUCGAGCGACCGGCGCACGGGUGAGUACCACGUAUCCAACCUGUCCUUUACUCGGAGAUCGCCUUUCGAAAGCAAGAUUAAUACCCGAUGUUAUGGACGGGGAUGCGUUCCAUUAGGUUGUGGGUAUGGUAACGGCUCACCAAGCCUUCGAUGGAUAGGGGUUCGGAGAGGAAGGCCCCCCAGAUUGGAGCUGAGGCACAGUCCAAACUCGUAGGCGGGGCAGGAGUGAGGAAUAUUGGUCAAUGGGCGUUGGCCUGAACCAGCCAAGUGGGGUGAAGGAUGAAGGGUUAUGGGUCGUAAACUUCUGUUAUAUAAGAAUAUGUAUUCUAUGAAUAAGGAUCGGCUAACUCCGUGCCAGCAGCCGCGGUAAUAC